AUACGGAAGGCAGCAGUGGGGAAUCUUGCACAAUGGGGGCAACCCUGAUGCAGCGACGCCGCGUGAACGAUGAAGCCCUUCGGGGUGUAAAGUUCUUUCGGCAGGAACGAUAAUGACGGUACCUGAAGAAGAAGCUGCGGCUAACUACGUGCCAGCAGCCGCGGUAAUACGUAGGCAGCAAGCGUUGUUCGGAGUUACUGGGCGUAAAGAGUGCGUAGGCGGUCUUUUAAGUUUGGUGUGAAAUCUCCCGGCUCAACUGGGAGGGUGCGCCGAAAACUGGAAGGCUUGAGGAUGGGAGAGGCAUGCGGAAUUCCUGGUGUAGCGGUGAAAUGCGUAGAUAUCAGGAGGAACACCUGCGGUGUAGACAGCAUGCUGGACCAUUUCUGACGCUGAGGCACGAAAGCGUGGGUAGCAAACAGGAUUAGAUACCCCGGUAGC
RNAcentral lists this ribosomal RNA (438 nucleotides) under uncultured bacterium. RNAcentral's name for it is "bacterial SSU rRNA". It matches the Rfam family "Bacterial small subunit ribosomal RNA", at positions 339 to 794 of the family's 1533-position model. The record is from RNAcentral.